Molecule: ribosomal RNA, 479 nt
Filed under: uncultured bacterium
Lineage: Bacteria
Description: partial 16S ribosomal RNA
Rfam family: Bacterial small subunit ribosomal RNA
Source: RNAcentral
GAUGAACGCUAGCGGGAGGCCUAACACAUGCAAGCCGAGCGGUAUUGUUUCUUCGGCAAUGAGAGAGCGGCGUACGGGUGCGUAACACGUGUGCAACCUGCCUUUAUCUGGGGGAUAGCCUUUCGAAAGGAAGAUUAAUACUCCAUAAUAUAUUGAACGGCAUCGUUUAAUAUUUAAAGCUCCGGCGGAUAGAGAUGGGCCCGCGCAAGAUUAGCUAGUUGGUGAGGUAACGGCUCACCAAGGCGAUGAUCUUUAGGGGGCCUGAGAGGGUGAUCCCCCACACUGGUACUGAGACACGGACCAGACUCCUACGGGAGGCAGCAGUGAGGAAGAUUGGUCAAUGGGUGCAAGCCUGAACCAGCCAUCCCGCGUGAAGGACGACUGCCCUAUGGGUUGUAAACUUCUUUUGUAUAGGGAUAAACCUACCCUCGAGAGGGUAGCUGAAGGUACUAGACGAAUAAGCACCGGCUAACUCCGUG